Molecule: long non-coding RNA, 923 nt
Organism: Neopsephotus bourkii (Bourke's parrot)
Lineage: Eukaryota; Metazoa; Chordata; Aves; Psittaciformes; Psittacidae
Exons: 3
Source: RefSeq, a predicted model, not a curated record
UUUGCGUAAUACUCACUUUAUGUUCAUUUUGCGGUGUAAAUCAUCACAUAAAAUGCAAGCAGCACAGAACCAAAUUCUCAACUGUCUCCUGUGAAAAAUCUACUUUACAAAAUGAACAGACUUCUAAAGAAAGAAAAGCCCUUUUCAUUAAUUCAGUUGCAUGAUAGUGAAUGUACAUGCUGUGUUUGCACUGUCUGGGCAAAUGAUCCAGAUCCAAAACAAUGGAUACCCUUACCUGAAACCACGCAGAAACCUUGCUCUUGUUAUUAUGGACUCUCUGCUCACAAAUUGUUCAUCAACAAAGCCUCAUCUCUGUCUCCCUUACAAUACCAUGCACUCUGACAGGCUGGUUUUGUAAGAGGCAUCAGCAGGGGAACUGCUUCUGCACAGUGCCCUCCUUUGACAAAGUCUCCCCUUUGUGGUGCCUCAAAAGCUCCAGCCUCGCAUCCUCAGCGCUGAUGUCUUGACACGCUGCAGGAAAGCAAGAGUCAGCACCCACUCAAGUCUGCUUUACAUGCGCUUUGAAGUGCCAGUGAAAGUACUUUGGAUGACUAGAAAGAUCCCAAUUUUAUUUUCUAUAUUGUCAGGAGUACGAAAGAUUGGCUUAAAAAGUUCUCAUAUACUGGAUCCUGACAGUAUAUACCCUCUGCAUUGUAUGCCUGCAGUGACUGUUUUUCUGCAUGUGUCCCACCAGAGAGCAGUACAAUCUGAAGAAUAAUCAGUCCUCAUCUAUCAGGACUUUUCACAUGCCUGCUUCUGCUGCAUUUCUCACAGAAAAGCUCCAUUGACUUCUCAACACAAAGAGGCUGAACAGCAAGAAAAUAGCAGAGCUCUGGAAGUGGAAAGAAACAUUUCAAAUCCUCAUAAAGAUUGUGGAAAAAGAAUCAACCUGGGAAGGUGAUUUAAAACUACAGAAGAAGGCC